UACAGAGGUCUCGAGCGUUAGGCGGAAUCACUGGGCUUAAAGCGUGUGUAGGUGGAUCGUUAAGUACCUUGUGAAAUCCCACGGCUUAACCGUGGAACUGCUUGGUAUACUGGCGGUCUUGAGCCACUUAGGGGCUACCGGAACAAAUGGUGGAGCGGUGAAAUGCGUAGAUAUCAUUUGGAACGCCAAUGGUGAAAACAACUCGCUGGGGGUGUGCUGACGCUGAGACACGAAAGCCAGGGGAGCGAACGGG
RNAcentral lists this ribosomal RNA (253 nucleotides) under uncultured bacterium. RNAcentral's name for it is "partial 16S ribosomal RNA". It matches the Rfam family "Bacterial small subunit ribosomal RNA", at positions 524 to 776 of the family's 1533-position model. The record is from RNAcentral.